This 253-nucleotide ribosomal RNA is filed under the name uncultured bacterium. Its description in RNAcentral is "partial 16S ribosomal RNA". It matches the Rfam family "Bacterial small subunit ribosomal RNA", at positions 524 to 776 of the family's 1533-position model. The record is from RNAcentral.
UACGGAGGGGGCCAGCGUUGUUCGGAAUCAUUGGGCGUAAAGGGCGCGUAGGCGGCUUUGUAAGUCCGUUGUGAAAUCCCUCGGCUCAACCGAGGAACUGCGACGGAUACUGCUUGGCUUGAGUCCCGGAGAGGGUAGCGGAACUCCCAGCGUAGCGGUGAAAUGCGUAGAUAUUGGGAGGAACAUCGGUGGCGAAGGCGGCUACCUGGACGGGUACUGACGCUGAUGCGCGAAAGCUAGGGGAGCAAACAGG